Molecule: ribosomal RNA, 253 nt
Filed under: uncultured bacterium
Lineage: Bacteria
Description: partial 16S ribosomal RNA
Rfam family: Bacterial small subunit ribosomal RNA
Source: RNAcentral
UACAGAGGGGGCGAGCGUUAUUCGGAAUUAUUGGGCGUAAAGGGCGCGUAGGCGGCAAGGUAAGUCAAAGGUGAAAUCCCUCGGCUCAACUGAGGAACUGCCUUUGAAACUGCCUAGCUUGAGGCCGGGAGAGGGUAGUGGAAUUCCCAGUGUAGCGGUGAAAUGCGUAGAUACUGGGAGGAACACCAGUGGCGAAGGCGGCUACCUGGACCGGUUCUGACGCUGAUGCGCGAAAGCGUGGGGAGCAAACAGG